This 246-nucleotide ribosomal RNA is filed under the name uncultured bacterium. Its description in RNAcentral is "partial 16S ribosomal RNA". It matches the Rfam family "Bacterial small subunit ribosomal RNA", at positions 791 to 1035 of the family's 1533-position model. The record is from RNAcentral.
UAGUCCACGCCGUAAACGAUGAGUGCUAGGUGUUAGGCCCUUUCCGGGGCUUAGUGCCGUAGCUAACGCAUUAAGCACUCCGCCUGGGGAGUACGACCGCAAGGUUGAAACUCAAAGGAAUUGACGGGGGCCCGCACAAGCGGUGGAGCAUGUGGUUUAAUUCGAAGCAACGCGAAGAACCUUACCAGGUCUUGACAUCCCAGUGCCGUCUCUAGAGAUAGAGAUUUUCUUCGGAACACUGGUGAC